Molecule: long non-coding RNA, 546 nt
Organism: Chiroxiphia lanceolata (lance-tailed manakin)
Lineage: Eukaryota; Metazoa; Chordata; Aves; Passeriformes; Pipridae
Exons: 3
Source: RefSeq, a predicted model, not a curated record
GUGUGGUGGCAGCUUUUGGGCAAUUGUGCUAUCCCAAGGAAAGUAGUAAAACUCAGAACCUCAUCAAGUAAGGAAUACAGAAGCAGUGGUUUUAACAGACACCCAAUUCAAUCCAGUUUUGGCUUUAAUUUAAGAGCAAAAUGCAGAAGAAAAUGAAGGCCAGGCAGUGGAGAAGUACGACCUAUCUCUGAAAAGAGCAGUGGAAAUCCAAAAGAGAAGAGGUUGGGGUAAAAUAUGGGUAUUCUAUUUUAAACUGAUUUUGCAGCCUGCAGAGACUGAAAAGAACUUUCUGAGAAUAGGAAAUAAAAGGUAAUGAUGGCUUACAGAGGUGAGAAAUAGGAUUCAAAAUCUGAACACACACAAAUGAUAAGCAGGGAGAACAAAACCAAGAUGAUUUCAGGAAGUGACAUACUGGUUUUGCAAACAGAGUAAAAAGGGUUUUUCUUCUUUAAUUUAUAUUGCCACCAUUUUUUUAACUGUUGAUAGCCGACCGAGAAAUAGUAAAGAUUCUAAAACUAUGACUAGAUUUCCAUUAAGACAUUUAUA